Molecule: ribosomal RNA, 253 nt
Filed under: uncultured bacterium
Lineage: Bacteria
Description: partial 16S ribosomal RNA
Rfam family: Bacterial small subunit ribosomal RNA
Source: RNAcentral
UACGGGGGGGGCAAGCGUUGUUCGGAAUUACUGGGCGUAAAGGGCUCGUAGGCGGCCAACUAAGUCAGACGUGAAAUCCUUCGGCUUAACCGGGGAACUGCAUCUGAUACUGGAUGGCUUGAGUUCGGGAGAGGGAUGUGGAAUUCCAGGUGUAGCGGUGAAAUGCGUAGAUAUCUGGAGGAACACCGGUGGCGAAGGCGGCAUCCUGGACCGACACUGACGCUGAUGCACGAAAGCUAGGGGAGCAAACAGG